Molecule: ribosomal RNA, 481 nt
Filed under: uncultured bacterium
Lineage: Bacteria
Description: partial 16S ribosomal RNA
Rfam family: Bacterial small subunit ribosomal RNA
Source: RNAcentral
GACGAACGUUGGCGGCGUGCUUAAUACAUGCAAGUCAACUGAAGCAGUGGUAGCAAUAUCGCUGUGGAGGUGGCGCACGGGUGAGUAACACGUAGGUAAUCUGCCUUCAGGUCUGGCAUAACUCCGGGAAACCGGGGCUAAUAGCAGAUGAUGCAGCGGCUCGACAUCGAGACAGUUGUUAAAGCUAUGGCGCCUGAAGAUGAGCCUGCGUCUGAUUAGCUAGUUGGCGGGGUAACGGCCCACCAAGGCAACGAUCAGUAGCUGGUCUGAGAGGAUGAUCAGCCACACUGGAACUGAGACACGGUCCAGACUCCUACGGGAGGCAGCAGUAAGGAAUAUUGCUCAAUGGGAGAAAUCCUGAAGCAGCAACGCCGCGUGAGGGACGAAGGGCUUUUGCUUGUAAACCUCUGUAGUGAGAGAAAAAAAUCCCAAUCUAGGGGACAUGAUGGUAUCUCAAAAGUAAGCCCCGGCUAACUACGUG